UACGAAGGGGGCUAGCGUUGCUCGGAAUCACGUGGGCGUAAAGGGUGCGUAGGCGGGUCUUUAAGUCAGGGGUGAAAUCCCAGAGCUCAACUCUGGAACUGCCUUUGAUACUGGGUAUCUUGAGUAUGGAAGAGGUAAGUGGAAUUGCGAGUGUAGAGGUGAAAUUCGUAGAUAUUCGCAGGAACACCAGUGGCGAAGGCGGACUUACUGGUCCAUAACUGACGCUGAGGUGCGAAAGCGUGGGGAGCAAACAGGGAUUAAGAAACCC
RNAcentral lists this ribosomal RNA (268 nucleotides) under uncultured bacterium. Its description in RNAcentral is "partial 16S ribosomal RNA". It matches the Rfam family "Bacterial small subunit ribosomal RNA", at positions 524 to 787 of the family's 1533-position model. The record is from RNAcentral.